GGUUCAAAAUUUCAUCAAUUUCUACUGUUAAAAACUGAUGUGGUUGACAGAAUAAUUUGACAAUUACACUAGUGUGCUACAUGUACCUCAUUCUGACGUAUAGAGAUCAAUUUUUAAUAGUAGGACCAGUUUACUCUUUGAUCU
Molecule: microRNA precursor, 144 nt
Filed under: Gossypium hirsutum (cotton)
Lineage: Eukaryota; Viridiplantae; Streptophyta; Magnoliopsida; Malvales; Malvaceae
Description: MIR7502 microRNA precursor family
Rfam family: MIR7502 microRNA precursor family
Source: Rfam by way of RNAcentral